ACACUUGCACUCUCUCCUUUUCCUCCCAACGGAGUCCGACACGGGCAGGCCUCCGUUCCGCGAUCCUCCGCCGCCGUCCGCCCCGGUCGGCCGCUACCAAUCCACCGGGAUCCGGCGCUGCGCCGCGCCUCGCCGAUGAGCAUGCCCGUCGCAGAGCCCGGGGCUGCUUCACCUCCGAACGCUGCCAUUUCCCUCCGAACGCUGCCAUUUCUCCGGGCUGCGCCGCCCAACUGCCAUCUAUCACCCGCUGCCCUGCCCACCCACGGCUCUAUCAUUGGCGCCCCUCACUCACCACCCUCCCGGUGAGCCCCACUCCACCAACAGCGCCACCCCGCUCCUCAGCCCCACCUCCACCAGCGAACUGCUGCUCCGAUCAACAUCGACAGUGGGCUAUUAGGCAACGGGAGGAUUCGCGGCAUGCUUGGCGGUCUCGGUGUCGGAUGCCAUCGCGAGUUUGCCUUGGCUGUACAACGCUGUUGGUAGCCUGGUCAGCAUAGGCAUCACGGCCGACGGAGGGAGAAGCAACAGCUCGUCCACCUACAAUAUUGUCUCUGUUUGGAAUAAGAAUUGUUUGAACCAGUCCAUUUUUUGAUAUGGUAGACUACAACUGGGUAAGGAACUAUGAUUCUGCGAUUGAGAGGACGGCAAUGUGGAUGAUCUGAUGUAGUGUUGCUGUGAACCCUGUUAACGCCGUCAUCAUCCUCCGUAACACACAUACAGCAACACACACAACAACCUAAGUCGCCGCCUACUCCGCUAGGUAUUUGUGCCCUCCUUGCCUCUCUCUGUUUAUCUUUAACUGAGAGAGCUAUGGGCACCCAAGGUCUAAUAUACCUUUUGUAUUCUUACAUAGUGUUGCUGUGAACCCUGUUAACGCCGUCAUCAUCCUCCGUAACACACAUACAGCAACACACACAACAACCUAAGUCGCCGCCUACUCCGCUAGAGAUGAGGAUAUCCACUCUCUUUUGGAAAGGAGAAGGGAGGGCAUAGAGAAUCAAAACAAAGGAAUGUAACCCUCAACUCAUUACAUUUUUUCUUCAACAACUAGCAUUGUUGCUGGAAGGCACAAAAACUAUAUCUUUUUAGUAGAACAUCUAUUCUUAUUAUUAGCCUCUCACCUGUAGCAGUACAUACAAAUAAAUUCCUAGUGGUAGGCAAAACUAUGUGAAUCCCCUUAAAAUCUAACAAAAUGGUCCGUGAUGUGGUACAGGAAACCUGCUCUCUCAAUAUGAAGAUUAUCCCUAUCCAAGAAAGCAGGAAUGAGAGGUGGAGACACCCAGAUUAUCGAAGUUAAUGUUGAUGUGGCAUUCUCAGGUGCUAAUGCUUGUGCGAUCACAUGGGUAAUUGCAAGAUAUACUGGAGGUGGAAGAAUGGCCUGAUCCUGCCUUCGAAUCUGAUUGGCAUGCACUGGUGGAGAUGUGGAACUCAAGAAAAUAGAACAGAUCAGAGCUUAUGGGUCGUCUCUUGUGUAAAAUUUGGAGAUUAUGGGUCUCUUGUGUGAUACUGAGGAGCUGGGCCAUGAUUUUGUUCAUUACUGUCUUUUAUUAGCAGAGGCACUAAUUUCUAUGUAUGCAUGUGUGCAAAACUGCCCCUGCAACUUACUGACCUGAGGCUGUGGCGUAAUGCCGCUCCAAAUUAAUUUGCCUUUUUUCCAAACUCCUUGGAUUGUAAAAAAACUCCUUCAAAUCUGUUGGUGUUAACAUUUUACUUCAGAACAUUGGUUCAAUGUCAUUGAUAUUUUUAUGA
This is a long non-coding RNA of Hordeum vulgare subsp. vulgare (domesticated barley), 1749 nucleotides long. RefSeq lists it as uncharacterized. NCBI's taxonomy places the organism in Eukaryota, Viridiplantae, Streptophyta, Magnoliopsida, Poales, Poaceae. The transcript has 5 exons. The record is from RefSeq and is a predicted model, not a curated record.